UUAAAAAGCUCGUAGUUGAACUUUGGGUCUGGCUGAUCUGUCCUCCUAAUCGAGCGCACGGAUUCGGUCGGGCCUUUCCUCCUGGGGAACCCGAUGCCCUUAAGUGGGCGUCGUGGGGAACCAGGACUUUUACCUUGAAAAAAUUAGAGUGUUCAAAGCAGGCCUUUGCUCGAAUACAUUAGCAUGGAAUAAUAGAAUAGGACAUCGGUUCUAUUUUGUUGGUUUCUAGGACCGCUGUAAUGAUUAAUAGGGGUAGUCGGGGG
RNAcentral lists this ribosomal RNA (263 nucleotides) under uncultured Ascomycota. RNAcentral's name for it is "partial 18S ribosomal RNA". It matches the Rfam family "Eukaryotic small subunit ribosomal RNA", at positions 619 to 888 of the family's 1831-position model. Lineage: Eukaryota; Fungi; Ascomycota. The record is from RNAcentral.